This 782-nucleotide ribosomal RNA is filed under the name uncultured bacterium. Its description in RNAcentral is "bacterial SSU rRNA". It matches the Rfam family "Bacterial small subunit ribosomal RNA", at positions 59 to 830 of the family's 1533-position model. The record is from RNAcentral.
CAGUCGAACGGAGUUAUUAUUUCAGAAGCAAUUAGCUUGCUAAGAGUGGAAGAGAGGAUAACUUAGUGGCGGACGGGUGAGUAACGCGUGGGGAACCUGCCCUGCACCGGGGGAUAACACCUGGAAACAGGUGCUAAUACCGCAUAAGCGCACGAGGCCGCAUGGCCAGGUGUGAAAAACUAAGGUGGUGCAGGAUGGACCCGCGUCUGAUUAGCUUGUUGGUAGGGUAACGGCCUACCAAGGCGACGAUCAGUAGCCGGCCUGAGAGGGUGAACGGCCACAUUGGGACUGAGACACGGCCCAAACUCCUACGGGAGGCAGCAGUGGGGAAUAUUGGACAAUGGGGGAAACCCUGAUCCAGCGACGCCGCGUGAGUGAAGAAGUAUUUCGGUAUGUAAAGCUCUAUCAGCAGGGAAGAAAAUGACGGUACCUGACUAAGAAGCUCCGGCUAAAUACGUGCCAGCAGCCGCGGUAAUACGUAUGGAGCAAGCGUUAUCCGGAUUUACUGGGUGUAAAGGGAGCGCAGGCGGCUUUGCAAGUCUGAUGUGAAAGGCCGGGGCUCAACCCCGGGACUGCAUUGGAAACUGUAAAGCUAGAGUGCCGGAGAGGUAAGCGGAAUUCCUAGUGUAGCGGUGAAAUGCGUAGAUAUUAGGAGGAACACCAGUGGCGAAGGCGGCUUACUGGACGGCAACUGACGCUGAGGCUCGAAAGCGUGGGGAGCAAACAGGAUUAGAUACCCUGGUAGUCCACGCCGUANACGAUGAAUACUAGGUGUCGGGGGG